AGAGUUUGAUCCUGGCUCAGAUUGAACGCUGGCGGCGUGCCUAACACAUGCAAGUCGAGCGGUAACAGGCUCUGGGGCAACCCAGAGUGCUGACGAGCGGCGGACGGGUGAGUAACGCUUGGGAAUCUACCUAGUAGUGGGGAAUAACCAGUCGAAAGAUUGGCUAAUACCGCAUACGUUCUUCGGAAGAAAGCGGGGGC
Molecule: ribosomal RNA, 200 nt
Filed under: uncultured bacterium
Lineage: Bacteria
Description: partial 16S ribosomal RNA
Rfam family: Bacterial small subunit ribosomal RNA
Source: RNAcentral